GAUGAACGCUGGCGGCGUGCCUAAUACAUGCAAGUCGAACGCGCAGCGAAAGGUGCUUGCACCUUUCAAGCGAGUGGCGAACGGGUGAGUAACACGUGGAUAACCUGCCUCAAGGCUGGGGAUAACAUUUGGAAACAGAUGCUAAUACCGAAUAAAACUUAGUAUCGCAUGAUACAAAGUAAAAAGGCCUUACGGCGUCACCAAGGAAUGAUCCCGGGGUGCAUUAGUUAGUUGGUGGGGGUAAAGGCUUACCAAGACGAUGAUGCAUAGCCGAGUUGAGAGACUGAUCGGCCACAUUGGGACUGAGACACGGCCCAAACUCCUACGGGAGGCUGCAGUAGGGAAUCUUCCACAAUGGGCGCAAGCCUGAUGGAGCAACGCCGCGUGUGUGAUGAAGGCUUUCGGGUCGUAAAGCACGGUUGUAUGGGAAGAAAUGCUAAAAUAGGGAAUGAUUUUAGUUUGACGGUACCAUACCAGAAAGGGACGGCUAAAUACGUGCCAGCAGCCGCUGUAA
RNAcentral lists this ribosomal RNA (514 nucleotides) under uncultured bacterium. RNAcentral's name for it is "partial 16S ribosomal RNA". It matches the Rfam family "Bacterial small subunit ribosomal RNA", at positions 28 to 523 of the family's 1533-position model. The record is from RNAcentral.